UCUUCUUCUUGGCCGGAGGCUCUGGAGUGACCUCCUCUUGGUCCGCUCCGCCCCCUGCCUCCUCUCCUCCAAUGGUCUUCUUUUUCUUCUUCUUCUUCUUCUCUAGGCUGGGGGGCGUGGCCUCCUCCUGCUCCACCUCCUCGGCGACGGACUCCUCCUUCGCUCCGGCCUUCUUCCUCCUCUUCUUCGUCGGCGUGCUCUCCUCGUCCGGCUGGCUCUGCUUGAUUCUGGUUCAGACCGUGCCGGUGGUGGAGGUGACGGCCUCAUCCUCCAGGCGAGCGCCCCCUGCUGGCUGAAGGAGACAUUAGGAGGAGGAGGUGGAGGAGAAGGUGGGUUAACUAACUUGAC
Molecule: long non-coding RNA, 348 nt
Organism: Gadus morhua (Atlantic cod)
Lineage: Eukaryota; Metazoa; Chordata; Actinopteri; Gadiformes; Gadidae
Source: Ensembl